Long non-coding RNA from Dreissena polymorpha, 1282 nucleotides. RefSeq lists it as uncharacterized. The transcript is spliced from 4 exons. NCBI's taxonomy places the organism in Eukaryota, Metazoa, Mollusca, Bivalvia, Myida, Dreissenidae. The record is from RefSeq and is a predicted model, not a curated record.
AGGAAAGUGUGCAGGUGAUUGGAGUCGGGCUUCAGUGCAUAGCGGGACCUCUCACCCAAACGUCACGUCAUUGGCGUCCACAGCCAUCUCUUAUUCCACAGUCCGAGGCUAGGUGGGACAGGCGAUUGGAGACAGGACCUCUUGCUCAGUCAUUACGUUCCUGUCGUCCACGCGGCUGCUGUUGAUUUGUGGUAGAAGUGGACUUCCUCUUCCUGUUCCUGUAUUCCACUGUCCCAGGAUAUCGGUCCAAGAAAGAGACCUUCACAUGUGAGCAGUCCUGCUCAAUCAGAGGCAAAGAAAAUAUCGUGGGAACCUAAUGAGUCCCGGGAAAAAAUAACGAGUGAGGAGGGCUCUGUACAGUCUGAGUCCCGACAUCGAUACGCCUUCAACAUCGGGUAACAUUAGUGGAACAAUUAUCAAUGAGAACAGGACUACAGACUGUUACCCUACCCCCAACAUAACAAGUUUUGACUCAAACAAAAUGACACUGAAGAACUGUGUGAUAAAAGGUUACCAUGUGUUUAAGGUUAGACCAUUCAUCUCUAGUCCACCAACACAGUUGAUUGUUGACAGAGAAUAUAGAAAUAAAAAGGAUCCAGAUGCAUGUUUGGUUUGGUUGCCAACGUUGGAAACAUUUCCUUAAAGUGUCUAUGAUACAGUUACAGAUGAAAAGCGCCAGCUGAAAUUAUCAGAUGUAGCAGGCCACCCAAUAGGACAUGUUCCUGAAAUCUUGUCAAUUUUCUGUUCUUCAAUUAUGAACGAGGUUGGAACCAUAACAGCAGAGGUAACGGGGGAGCCAGUGCCAAGUUUUCAACCAUGGCCAGCCCCAAAUGAAGAAGGGGGUGGUGUUGUGUUUCCUUGUCAUUAUGUGAUAAAUCAGUCUGAUAUCAAGGCUAGCUUUAGCAAGCUGUGUUUGCUUCUGGAAAAAUCACCCGAAGGUUUUGCUAUGGAUCUGUCAAUUGAAACCACACCAAAAGCAUAAAUUAAAAGCAUGGGUGAUUUUGCUUGCCUACUAUUGUUUAUAAAAUACACUUUGUUUCAUGGUCAUAAUAUCAGGUCAUAUGCCCAACCCUGUAACUGAUCAAAAAUUUAUCUGAACAACUAGCAUGAGCCUCUUUUUACUUUGACUUUGUAAGUUUUUUUAUUUUGGUGCUCACUUGAAACUUAACUAAUAUAUUUAGGGUUAUCAUGUUAGAUUCUAUGCAUGACUCUGACCAGUAUUUUUGCCAAAUGAUGUCCUCUUUUGAAGUUGGACAAUUAUUUAUUGACAUGGAACCAAAUA